This 102-nucleotide transfer RNA is filed under the name Moniliophthora perniciosa FA553. It matches the Rfam family "tRNA". From Rfam's summary of the family: Transfer RNA (tRNA) molecules are approximately 80 nucleotides in length. Their secondary structure includes four short double-helical elements and three loops (D, anti-codon, and T loops). Further hydrogen bonds mediate the characteristic L-shaped molecular structure. tRNAs have two regions of fundamental functional importance: the anti-codon, which is responsible for specific mRNA codon recognition, and the 3' end, to which the tRNAs corresponding amino acid is attached (by aminoacyl-tRNA synthetases). tRNAs cope with the degeneracy of the genetic code in two manners: having more than one tRNA (with a specific anti-codon) for a particular amino acid; and 'wobble' base-pairing, i.e. permitting non-standard base-pairing at the 3rd anti-codon position. Lineage: Eukaryota; Fungi; Basidiomycota; Agaricomycetes; Agaricales; Marasmiaceae. The record is from Rfam by way of RNAcentral.
GGCCUGAUGGUCUAGUAGUAUGAUUCUCCCUUCGGGUUUGAAAGCCCUCCACGGUCCUUGGAGAUUUGGGAGAGGUCCGGGGUUCAAUUCCCCGUCAGGCCC